GACGAACGCUGGCGGCGUGCUUAACACAUGCAAGUCGAGCGGUAAGGCCCUUUCGGGGGUACACGAGCGGCGAACGGGUGAGUAACACGUGGGUGACCUGCCCUCAGCUCUGGGAUAAGCCUGGGAAACCGGGUCUAAUACCGGAUAUGACUCCAUGACGCAUGUUGUGGGGUGGAAAGCCUUGUGCGGCUGAGGAUGGGCCCGCGGCCUAUCAGCUUGUUGGUGGGGUGAUGGCCACCAAGGCGACGACGGGUAGCCGGCCUGAGAGGGCGACCGGCCACACUGGGACUGAGACACGGCCCAGACUCCUACGGGAGGCAGCAGUGGGGAAUCUUGCGCAAUGGGCGAAAGCCUGACGCAGCGACG
Molecule: ribosomal RNA, 366 nt
Filed under: uncultured bacterium
Lineage: Bacteria
Description: bacterial SSU rRNA
Rfam family: Bacterial small subunit ribosomal RNA
Source: RNAcentral